UGGGGAAUAUUGGGCAAUGGGCGAAAGCCUGACCCAGCAACGCCGCGUGAAGGAAGAAGGCCUUCGGGUUGUAAACUUCUUUUAUCAGGGACGAAGGAAGUGACGGUACCUGAUGAAUAAGCCACGGCUAACUACGUGCCAGCAGCCGCGGUAAUACGUAGGUGGCAAGCGUUAUCCGGAUUUACUGGGUGUAAAGGGCGCGUAGGCGGGGAUGCAAGUCAGAUGUGAAAUCUAUGGGCUCAACCCAUAAACUGCAUUCAAAACUGAUAUUCUUGAGUGAAGUAGAGGUAGGCGGAAUUCCGAGUGUAGCGGUGAAAUGCGUAGAUAUUCGGAGGAACACCAGUGGCGAAGGCGGCCUACUGGGCUUUAACUG
Molecule: ribosomal RNA, 373 nt
Filed under: uncultured Clostridium sp.
Lineage: Bacteria; Bacillati; Bacillota; Clostridia; Eubacteriales; Clostridiaceae
Description: bacterial SSU rRNA
Rfam family: Bacterial small subunit ribosomal RNA
Source: RNAcentral